RNAcentral lists this ribosomal RNA (520 nucleotides) under uncultured Acaulospora. RNAcentral's name for it is "SSU rRNA". It matches the Rfam family "Eukaryotic small subunit ribosomal RNA", at positions 569 to 1088 of the family's 1831-position model. Lineage: Eukaryota; Fungi; Glomeromycota; Glomeromycetes; Diversisporales; Acaulosporaceae. The record is from RNAcentral.
AGCAGCCGCGGUAAUUCCAGCUCCAAUAGCGUAUAUUAAAGUUGUUGCAGUUAAAAAGCUCGUAGUUGAAUUUCGGGGUUUAUCCGUUGGUCGGGCUUUUUGGUCUGUACUGGCGUGAUGGAUUCCUACCUUCUGAAUAACCGGCAUGCCAUUAAUUUGGUGCGCCGGGGAAGCAGGACUGUUACCUUGAAAAAAUUAGAGUGCUUAAAGCAGGCUUAUGCCUGAAUACAUUAGCAUGGAAUAAUGAAAUAGGACGGCAUGGUUCUAUUUUGUUGGUUUCUAGGAUCACCGUAAUGAUUAAUAGGGAUAGUUGGGGGCAUUAGUAUUCAAUUGUCAGGGGUGAAAUUCUUGGAUUUAUUGAAGACUAACUUCUGCGAAAGCAUUUGCCAAGGAUGUUUUCAUUAAUCAAGAACGAAAGUUAGGGGAUCGAAGACGAUCAGGUACCGUCGUAGUCUUAACCAUAAACUAUGCCGACUAGGGAUCGGAUGAUGUUAAUUUUUUAAUGACUCAUUCGGCGCCU